Long non-coding RNA from Pelmatolapia mariae (spotted tilapia), 676 nucleotides. RefSeq lists it as uncharacterized. NCBI's taxonomy places the organism in Eukaryota, Metazoa, Chordata, Actinopteri, Cichliformes, Cichlidae. The transcript is spliced from 6 exons. The record is from RefSeq and is a predicted model, not a curated record.
GCACCACGAUUAGUAUAAGGCGCAUUUCACGAAGCAGAACGCAGUCUUCAGAGAUAUCCACGUGAACGCUGUGAUACGUCUGACCUUCAGUCCGAAGCUGGAACUCAGACCAGUCUUAAAAGAAAGCACAAACCAAAUCCCCUGUACACAUAUACGGACUCAGAGGAUGAGUUUUUUUGUGGGGAAAGCCUACAAAAAAACGGUUUCCCCAGGCCCCUCGAGUGAAAAUACCAGCCCUCACCACUCCGCAGUCUGCCCCCCAGCCCACUGAUAGCAACCAUCAUAAUGCCCCACCCAGCUCCCGGCACCUUUCGCCACUCCGGCACAAACCAACACAGCUUUGCGAUCUCGCCAGCAUGCAGAGUCUGAUGUCUUCCCUAUAGAUGAUUCCAGAGACUCUGUGAGGCCACUAUUACAAGGUGAGACGCUUUGCGUUGAUUGGUGCUGCUGAACCACACUGGAGGUGCGAGUCCGCCGUGUAAUGGUUUAUGCCAUUACAAAGGAGCUGGCCUCUGUACUCAACUGGGCAGGGGAAAAAAACAAAGGACCAGACAAAGCAAAAAAGGGCAUUUAAAGAGACAGCGCUGUGCAGAUGCAUAUUUGGUAAGUUUUAACAUUUAUUGUAGUUUUAUGAGCCUAAAGUGAAAAAUAAAGGGAUCAAUUGAUGUGCUGGGUG